AUGUGCCAGGGCUGCAGCAGGACCAGGCAGGGCAGGGGGAGGCACAGCAGGGUCACCCCAACACUGGGGGCUGUCCCCAUGUGCCAGGGCUGCAGCAGGACCAGGCAGGGCAGGGGGAGGCACAGCAGGGUCACCCCAACACUGGGGGCUGUCCCCAUGUGCCAGGGCUGCAGCAGGACCAGGCAGGGCAGGGGGAGGCACAGCAGGGUCACCCCAACACUGGGGGCUGUCCCCAUGUGCCAGGGCUGCAGCAGGACCAGGCAGGGCAGGGGGAGGCACAGCAGGGUCACCCCAACACUGGGGGCUGUCCCCAUGUGCCAGGGCUGCAGCAGGACCAGGCAGGGCAGGGGGAGGCACAGCAGGGUCACCCCAACACUGGGGGCUGUCCCCAUGUGCCAGGGCUGCAGCAGGACCAGGCAGGGCAGGGGGAGGCACAGCAGGGUCACCCCAACACUGGGGGCUGUCCCCAUGUGCCAGGGCUGCAGCAGGACCAGGCAGGGCAGGGGGAGGCACAGCAGGGUCACCCCAACACUGGGGGCUGUCCCCAUGUGCCAGGGCUGCAGCAGGACCAGGCAGGGCAGGGGGAGGCACAGCAGGGUCACCCCAACACUGGGGGCUGUCCCCAUGUGCCAGGGCUGCAGCAGGACCAGGCAGGGCAGGGGGAGGCACAGCAGGGUCACCCCAACACUGGGGGCUGUCCCCAUGUGCCAGGGCUGCAGCAGGACCAGGCAGGGCAGGGGGAGGCACAGCAGGGUCACCCCAACACUGGGGGCUGUCCCCAUGUGCCAGGGCUGCAGCAGGACCAGGCAGGGCAGGGGGAGGCACAGCAGGGUCACCCCAACACUGGGGGCUGUCCCCAUGUGCCAGGGCUGCAGCAGGACCAGGCAGGGCAGGGGGAGGCACAGCAGGGUCACCCCAACACUGGGGGCUGUCCCCAUGUGCCAGGGCUGCAGCAGGACCAGGCAGGGCAGGGGGAGGCACAGCAGGGUCACCCCAACACUGGGGGCUGUCCCCAUGUGCCAGGGCUGCAGCAGGACCAGGCAGGGCAGGGGGAGGCACAGCAGGGUCACCCCAACACUGGGGGCUGUCCCCAUGUGCCAGGGCUGCAGCAGGACCAGGCAGGGCAGGGGGAGGCACAGCAGGGUCACCCCAACACUGGGGGCUGUCCCCAUGUGCCAGGGCUGCAGCAGGACCAGGCAGGGCAGGGGGAGGCACAGCAGGGUCACCCCAACACUGGGGGCUGUCCCCAUGUGCCAGGGCUGCAGCUUCCCCACCCCUGGGAGAUGCCCUCCCCUGCCCUGGAGCCGAGAGGGGACAUCAGAGGGUGACACGGUGGGAGCAGGUCCCUCAGAGUGCUUUGGAGUGGGAGGGAGCUUUAAAGGUCACCUCAUCCUACUCCUGCCACAUUUCACCUUCCACUACCCCAGGCUGCUCCCAGCCCUGUCCAGCCUUGGACACUUCCAGCAGCCACAGCUUCUCUGUCUCUCCACUCUCACUGUAAAAAAAAAUUCUUCCUUAUAUCUAAAUCAAGUGGUACCAAAACACUUUAUUGUUCUCCUUUGCUCCAGCACAGUGCCUGGCCUUUCACCUUCCAGUUUCCUCUCUGCAGAGCCUUUUCUUAUUAAAAUCUAA
Molecule: long non-coding RNA, 1632 nt
Organism: Ficedula albicollis (Collared flycatcher)
Lineage: Eukaryota; Metazoa; Chordata; Aves; Passeriformes; Muscicapidae
Source: Ensembl